ACUUACCUAGCCAACAUGGUGAAUCAAGUUUUGAUCAGAUCACUUAAUGAUUAGGGUUGACCCAUGCUUACUAAAAAAUCAGUUCGACUGAUUUAGGUGCCCCUAGUUUUGACUUAUCUUUAUCCUCAACAUGACUUGGUGAAGUCAGUAGGAGGAUUAAUGACUUAUCAGUUGGACCAGCUUGUUUCUAAUCCAUCCUGA
Molecule: long non-coding RNA, 201 nt
Filed under: Elaeis guineensis (African oil palm)
Lineage: Eukaryota; Viridiplantae; Streptophyta; Magnoliopsida; Arecales; Arecaceae
Description: long non-coding RNA (EGUI_LNC044087)
Source: RNAcentral